Oryctolagus cuniculus (rabbit) is the source of this 1724-nucleotide long non-coding RNA. Lineage: Eukaryota; Metazoa; Chordata; Mammalia; Lagomorpha; Leporidae. The record is from Ensembl.
CCAAAUGAUCCCCAGUUGUUAAUUUCUCCACUGCCACCUGAGCCCACAAGCCAGCCUGUACCAGGCGCAACACAGCUUUUCCUCAUCUCCUUCUGCAGAGUAGGCUGGCCUACACCAGCUGCUCACAAAUCCACUGCGAAGACUUUCCUGGGAGCACUCCUCUGCGUCCAUGCCAAGAAUCCCUUCUACAGCAGACCACACAGCUUGCAACCCAUGCUGGAUUCCAGGUCCCAGGCGCUGAGCUCACACCCCAGGCUCUGCCACACGACUUCCUGCGGUGAGAACUCCGGCAGCCAAGUCAGUCCCAGAGCUCAGGGAAGACCUCACCUUCCCUUCCACAUGCAGAAUGCCCGUGUGUUCAGCAAGAACCAUCCCUGUUUCUCCAUCGGCUUCAGUCUUCCCAGCCAUGGUCUCUGAUCCUUCUGCAGGAGAGCUUCCCAACCUCCCGUGGAAGAGCCGUGUGCCCGCUCGCACUCAGCAGUUUUACUGUUAACUUUCUCCAUAAGGAAGCUAUUCCAUUCCAGAACUGUUUGGGGAAGGAGGCUGGGGGGCGAAGAAAAAGAAAUAAUAAUUAUGUAGCAACUCUUGUCAGUUGCAGAUUUGCAUCUUCCCAUUUUAUGUAUCUAGUCAUAAUCUUGCACACAUAAAAUUUAAGCGUCACUGCACUGCUAGCAUUUUGCAGAAGAAAUUUUCCAAUACAACUCCACCAAUUUACUUGGGGGAAAAAAAAGGCUGGAGUCUAUAUUUACAGCUAACAGGCCUACAUUUGCUUCUGACACUCUUGGUGAACCCAGUGAGAGAGGUCAUUGGCUCCCCUUCCUUCCAUUCUUCGUCCAUGUAACACUUGGGUUUAUUAAACACGCUGUUUCCAUGGCAGGGACCAAAGCCCCACUGUUGGCCUCUCGUUGGGGAAGACAGCAGUGGUACUGGGGGUGAGGUGGAUUGGGUUUUAGAACCUCCUAGAGCUGGAAUCAGGUCCUAGCUCCUUCACUUACUCUCUGGGGUUCUUUAGGAAAAGCACUUAACUUUCUGACUUCUGCCGCCGGUCCCUCCUGUGUGAAAUAGGGAUGACAUUCUUACCUCUCGACCUGUGAUAAGGGCAGCACAUGGCCAUGGUCACACACAUGGUGUGUGUGUGCUCCAUGCCAUAAACAUUCACUCCUGUGCCCACCUUCAAAGUCAAGGCUGAGGUCUGGAAAAACAUUGCAUGCUCCAUGGAGGGACGCCAGUGGCAUCUGUCCUGGGUUCACCAAGAGCAAACAAGUGGAUGAAAGGGGGUGAGGCUUGGGUGGGCUCUGGGUGGACGGGGUCAUCUGGCCUCUCGCCAGUGUGGUGAGGCUCUGGGGAGGACUCUGUCACUGCUUUCUAGUUGUGGGUGGGCCGUUCCAGCUCAGGUGUUUUACGGCUUUAAGGCUCCAAGAGCAGGGUCCACAGGAGUCAAGACUCUCUUGGAUGGCGAAUCCCCGUACCAGAUUACCUUAGGCAGUAAAUGAGCCUAUUGGGUACAUAACUGGCAUGUCCGUCAGGCGUGGCUGUAUCCAGGCAUCAGUGGCUGUUGUCAGAUCACAUUCGGACUUUUCAUUCCAUGUUCCUCCAGGUUAGUUUCAGGAUGGCUCUCUUCACAAGACAGAGCCUGUGUUCCUACGUUCAGAUUGUCCUAGCUCAACAUUAGGGUUGAGCUGGCCCACUGCCUUGUUUGCCAAAUAAAGUUUUAUUAAAACACA